CAAAUAUAUACUAGUCCAGUGAUAAUGAACGCCAUACUAAUUUCCAAAUUGUACACAAGAAACCAAAAUUAAAAUAAUACAAGACUAACAAAGGCCAGAGGCUCCUGACUUGGGACAGGCGCAAAAAUGCGGCGGGGUUAAACAUGUUUGUGAGAUCUCAACCCUCCCCCUAUACCUCUAACCAAUGUAGAAAAGUAAACGCAUAACAAUACGCAC
RNAcentral lists this long non-coding RNA (216 nucleotides) under Mytilus galloprovincialis (Mediterranean mussel). Lineage: Eukaryota; Metazoa; Mollusca; Bivalvia; Mytilida; Mytilidae. The record is from RNAcentral.